This 502-nucleotide ribosomal RNA is filed under the name uncultured bacterium. Its description in RNAcentral is "partial 16S ribosomal RNA". It matches the Rfam family "Bacterial small subunit ribosomal RNA", at positions 28 to 523 of the family's 1533-position model. The record is from RNAcentral.
GAUGAACGCUAGCGGCAGGCUUAAUACAUGCAAGUCGAGGGGCAGCGCAGUGUAGCAAUACAUGGGCGGCGACCGGCAAACGGGUGCGGAACACGUACGCAACCUUCCUUUAAGUGGGGGAUAGCCCAGGGAAACUUGGAUUAAUACCCCGUAAUAUUAUGAAGUGGCAUCACUUUAUACUUAUAGCUCCGGCGCUUAAAGAUGGGCGUGUGACUGAUUAGGUAGUUGGCGGGGUAACGGCCCACCAAGCCUGCGAUCAGUAACUGGUGUGAGAGCACGACCAGUCACACGGGAACUGAGACACGGGCCCGACUCCUACGGGAGGCAGCAGUAAGGAAUAUUGGUCAAUGGACGCAAGUCUGAACCAGCCAUGCCGCGUGGAGGAUGAAGGUCCUCUGGAUUGUAAACUUCUUUUAUUUGGGAAGAAACCCACUGUUUCUACGGUGGUUGACGGUACCAGAUGAAUAAGCACCGGCUAACUCCGUGCCAGCAGCCGCCGCGG